AUGCUGGAAGAGGAUAUUGCUGACAUCUUGGGUAAUAUCCUGAGAUUUAUUAAUUAAUCACGUGCAGGUUGGAGGUUAAGGCUUACUAACGGUCGAAAAGACUUCUUCUCCUCAAGACUCGGACGAAUCUGUUGAAGAAGAGACGUUGAGCCCGAAAGACCAGGUCUACAACGUUCAAUGAAGGAAUAUCCGGUGAAUCCCGCAAGUUUAGGAUAGUUUGUUGGUUUAUCUUUACUAUAAAUAGAUGUGGCGGAUCAGUUUAAGACACACUCUUUCACCAACACUUCCGUACGCUCUUACUCUCUACAAUCACCACACUUGUAUCCAAAUCAUAUUGUAACACUUAGUUGAUCCGCACCACAUCCUGCACUGUAUCCUGAUAUUUGAAGCAAUAAAGGAACAAGGCAGCUGCGAUUGUCAGCUCCCGAGGUUUUAUGCCGGCGAU
This 445-nucleotide long non-coding RNA is filed under the name Helianthus annuus (common sunflower). Lineage: Eukaryota; Viridiplantae; Streptophyta; Magnoliopsida; Asterales; Asteraceae. The record is from RNAcentral.